Molecule: ribosomal RNA, 495 nt
Filed under: uncultured bacterium
Lineage: Bacteria
Description: partial 16S ribosomal RNA
Rfam family: Bacterial small subunit ribosomal RNA
Source: RNAcentral
GACGAACGCUGGCGGCGUGCCUAAUACAUGCAAGUAGAACGCUGAAGGAGGAGCUUGCUCUUCUGGAUGAGUUGCGAACGGGUGAGUAACGCGUAGGUAACCUGCCUGGUAGCGGGGGAUAACUAUUGGAAACGAUAGCUAAUACCGCAUAACGGUAGAUGUUGCAUGACAUUUACUUAAAAGGUGCAAUUGCAUCACUACCAGAUGGACCUGCGUUGUAUUAGCUAGUUGGUGGGGUAACGGCUCACCAAGGCGACGAUACAUAGCCGACCUGAGAGGGUGAUCUGCCACACUGGGACUGGGACACGGCCCAGGCUCCUACGGGAGGCAGCAGUAGGGAAUCUUCGGCAAUGGACGGAAGUCUGACCGAGCAACGCCGCGUGAGUGAAGAAGGUUUUCGGAUCGUAAAGCUCUGUUGUAAGAGAAGAACGAGUGUGAGAGUGGAAAGUUCACACUGUGACGGUAUCUUACCAGAAAGGGACGGCUAACUACGUG